UUCCCGCGACUGCGAACUUAUCUAUCGCUUCUCGCAACGUAAACUCAUCCAACCUCGUUUAUUCUCACAGAAACCCAUGGUCGAUAGCUUCUUCCUUGCCAAGUCCAUACAGGGCCCGACAAAAAUUGGUUUCUCAAGUAAAAGCUUUAAAACUUGAUGAGAAAAGCAUCUAUGAUGCUAGCACAAGGCAUG
Long non-coding RNA from Neltuma alba, 192 nucleotides. RefSeq lists it as uncharacterized. Lineage: Eukaryota; Viridiplantae; Streptophyta; Magnoliopsida; Fabales; Fabaceae. The record is from RefSeq and is a predicted model, not a curated record. The transcript has 3 exons.